RNAcentral lists this long non-coding RNA (403 nucleotides) under Homo sapiens (human). RNAcentral describes it as "non-protein coding lnc-ARAP2-80:1". The record is from RNAcentral. Lineage: Eukaryota; Metazoa; Chordata; Mammalia; Primates; Hominidae.
GAAGUUUUUGCUAUGCCUUCAGUUCUGUCACAGUCUUUAGAGGUGUUUUUGUCUAACUCUCCCUCAGGAUCACACCAAAAAGCCUUGGUCAUUCAGCAUGGUGCCUGACCUUCAGCAAAUAUUGGGAGCCUCCGAUUCCUGCUGCUUCUAGUCUGCCAUCUUUGCCACACCCCCAGAAAAUUCUGACUAUUCAAUUUCUACUAUACCAAAAUUAGACUCCUCCUCCCGCUAAGGAAAAGUGGUGACAACAUGGGCAUAUGGACAUUCAUUCCCACCUUCAGCAGAGGGAGGAUAUGUGUUUUGAGAAAUGGUACUAGAGCAAUUCAACAUAGAAGAAAAGAAGAGAAGAUGAAGGAGAAGAGGAGGAAGAGGAAGAGGAAGAAGGAGGAGGAGGAGGAAGAAG